Molecule: long non-coding RNA, 757 nt
Filed under: Marmota monax (woodchuck)
Lineage: Eukaryota; Metazoa; Chordata; Mammalia; Rodentia; Sciuridae
Source: RNAcentral
GGGGGGGGGACGAGCGAUAGCCACUCUAGCUGAAGGCCAUGGGGCAGACCAGGUUCCUGGAGAAGCACCCCCAGUUCCAGCCGGUGCGCUGGGCGCCUUCCCACGCCUGCUCUGCGGGACCCCAGGCGCCCCACGCACGCACCCACCCGCCUCCCUGGGCCCGCCGCUCCUCCCUCCUUCUUCACUGGUUGGCCGGGUCGCUGCGGAGAGCAGCGGCAGCGGGAGGAGCCGGGCGCGCCCGCCACGCAAAACCACCGCUCUAGCUGGGUGGCGAGCAGGCUGCGCGAUCCCAGGUGGCAGCGGUGACAGUGACAGCGGCAGCGGCAGCAGUCUGUGCGCUUCCUCUCCCAGGAGCACCCGCAUCCCGCCUCCGCCGCGCCACUGAGCUGCCGGCGAUCCCGGGAGCCCCGGCCCACGCGCCCACGGCCGAGCCCCGCGCACAAUAGCGGCCGUCGCAGCUGCGGCUCCGAACCUGGACGCCAGCCAUGGGGAAGACGGCGAGGAAGGGAUACGACUACAAGCGCUUCCUGAAGAAUAACUGGUUGCUGCUCUCCACAGUGGCCGCGGUGGUGCUAGGUGAGCAGCGCGGCGGGUGGGCGAUGCGCGCACCCUCACGCGUGCCCAGAGCCCAGGCCGCGUGCGGGGUGUGCGAGUGCAAGGGUGGGCAUGGCGCGGGCGCAGUCUUUGCCGGGGCCACCCGCUCCCCUUGGACCUUGGCCUUGGACCCCAGACCGCCGUUUUCCCCCAAGAGCGCAAU